ACGGGUGAGUAAUGCCUAGGAAUCUGCCUGGUAGUGGGGGAUAACGCUCGGAAACGGACGCUAACACCGCAUACGUCCUACGGGAGAAAGCAGGGGACCUUCGGGCCUUGCGCUAUCAGAUGAGCCUAGGUCGGAUUAGCUAGUUGGUGGGGUAAUGGCUCACCAAGGCGACGAUCCGUAACUGGUCUGAGAGGAUGAUCAGUCACACUGGAACUGAGACACGGUCCAGACUCCUACGGGAGGCAGCAGUGGGGAAUAUUGGACAAUGGGCGAAAGCCUGAUCCAGCCAUGCCGCGUGUGUGAAGAAGGUCUUCGGAUUGUAAAGCACUUUAAGUUGGGAGGAAGGGCAUUAACCUAAUACGUUAGUGUUUUGACGUUACCGACAGAAUAAGCACCGGCUAACUCUGUGCCAGCAGCCGCGGUAAUACAGAGGGUGCAAGCGUUAAUCGGAAUUACUGGGCGUAAAGCGCGCGUAGGUGGUUCGUUAAGUUGGAUGUGAAAUCCCCGGGCUCAACCUGGGAACUGCAUUCAAAACUGUCGAGCUAGAGUAUGGUAGAGGGUGGUGGAAUUUCCUGUGUAGCGGUG
RNAcentral lists this ribosomal RNA (585 nucleotides) under uncultured Pseudomonas sp. RNAcentral describes it as "bacterial SSU rRNA". It matches the Rfam family "Bacterial small subunit ribosomal RNA", at positions 102 to 683 of the family's 1533-position model. Lineage: Bacteria; Pseudomonadati; Pseudomonadota; Gammaproteobacteria; Pseudomonadales; Pseudomonadaceae. The record is from RNAcentral.